This 2900-nucleotide ribosomal RNA is filed under the name Escherichia coli. Its description in RNAcentral is "bacterial LSU rRNA". It matches the Rfam family "Bacterial large subunit ribosomal RNA". Lineage: Bacteria; Pseudomonadati; Pseudomonadota; Gammaproteobacteria; Enterobacterales; Enterobacteriaceae. The record is from RNAcentral.
UUAAGCGACUAAGCGUACACGGUGGAUGCCCUGGCAGUCAGAGGCGAUGAAGGACGUGCUAAUCUGCGAUAAGCGUCGGUAAGGUGAUAUGAACCGUUAUAACCGGCGAUUUCCGAAUGGGGAAACUCAGUGUGAUUCGUCACACUAUCAUUAACUGAAUCCAUAGGUUAAUGAGGCGAACCGGGGGAACUGAAACAUCUAAGUACCCCGAGGAAAAGAAAUCAACCGAGAUUCCCCCAGUAGCGGCGAGCGAACGGGGAGGAGCCCAGAGCCUGAAUCAGUGUGUGUGUUAGUGGAAGCGUCUGGAAAGGCGCGCGAUACAGGGUGACAGCCCCGUACACAAAAAUGCACAUGCUGUGAGCUCGAUGAGUAGGGCGGGACACGUGGUAUCCUGUCUGAAUAUGGGGGGACCAUCCUCCAAGGCUAAAUACUCCUGACUGACCGAUAGUGAACCAGUACCGUGAGGGAAAGGCGAAAAGAACCCCGGCGAGGGGAGUGAAAAAGAACCUGAAACCGUGUACGUACAAGCAGUGGGAGCACGCUUAGGCGUGUGACUGCGUACCUUUUGUAUAAUGGGUCAGCGACUUAUAUUCUGUAGCAAGGUUAACCGAAUAGGGGAGCCGAAGGGAAACCGAGUCUUAACUGGGCGUUAAGUUGCAGGGUAUAGACCCGAAACCCGGUGAUCUAGCCAUGGGCAGGUUGAAGGUUGGGUAACACUAACUGGAGGACCGAACCGACUAAUGUUGAAAAAUUAGCGGAUGACUUGUGGCUGGGGGUGAAAGGCCAAUCAAACCGGGAGAUAGCUGGUUCUCCCCGAAAGCUAUUUAGGUAGCGCCUCGUGAAUUCAUCUCCGGGGGUAGAGCACUGUUUCGGCAAGGGGUCAUCCCGACUUACCAACCCGAUGCAAACUGCGAAUACCGGAGAAUGUUAUCACGGGAGACACACGGCGGGUGCUAACGUCCGUCGUGAAGAGGGAAACAACCCAGACCGCCAGCUAAGGUCCCAAAGUCAUGGUUAAGUGGGAAACGAUGUGGGAAGGCCCAGACAGCCAGGAUGUUGGCUUAGAAGCAGCCAUCAUUUAAAGAAAGCGUAAUAGCUCACUGGUCGAGUCGGCCUGCGCGGAAGAUGUAACGGGGCUAAACCAUGCACCGAAGCUGCGGCAGCGACACUGUGUGUUGUUGGGUAGGGGAGCGUUCUGUAAGCCUGUGAAGGUGUGCUGUGAGGCAUGCUGGAGGUAUCAGAAGUGCGAAUGCUGACAUAAGUAACGAUAAAGCGGGUGAAAAGCCCGCUCGCCGGAAGACCAAGGGUUCCUGUCCAACGUUAAUCGGGGCAGGGUGAGUCGACCCCUAAGGCGAGGCCGAAAGGCGUAGUCGAUGGGAAACAGGUUAAUAUUCCUGUACUUGGUGUUACUGCGAAGGGGGGACGGAGAAGGCUAUGUUGGCCGGGCGACGGUUGUCCCGGUUUAAGCGUGUAGGCUGGUUUUCCAGGCAAAUCCGGAAAAUCAAGGCUGAGGCGUGAUGACGAGGCACUACGGUGCUGAAGCAACAAAUGCCCUGCUUCCAGGAAAAUCCUCUAAGCAUCAGGUAACAUCAAAUCGUACCCCAAACCGACACAGGUGGUCAGGUAGAGAAUACCAAGGCGCUUGAGAGAACUCGGGUGAAGGAACUAGGCAAAAUGGUGCCGUAACUUCGGGAGAAGGCACGCUGAUAUGUAGGUGAAGCGACUUGCUCGUGGAGCUGAAAUCAGUCGAAGAUACCAGCUGGCUGCAACUGUUUAUUAAAAACACAGCACUGUGCAAACACGAAAGUGGACGUAUACGGUGUGACGCCUGCCCGGUGCCGGAAGGUUAAUUGAUGGGGUCAGCGCAAGCGAAGCUCUUGAUCGAAGCCCCGGUAAACGGCGGCCGUAACUAUAACGGUCCUAAGGUAGCGAAAUUCCUUGUCGGGUAAGUUCCGACCUGCACGAAUGGCGUAAUGAUGGCCAGGCUGUCUCCACCCGAGACUCAGUGAAAUUGAACUCGCUGUGAAGAUGCAGUGUACCCGCGGCAAGACGGAAAGACCCCGUGAACCUUUACUAUAGCUUGACACUGAACAUUGAGCCUUGAUGUGUAGGAUAGGUGGGAGGCUUAGAAGUGUGGACGCCAGUCUGCAUGGAGCCGACCUUGAAAUACCACCCUUUAAUGUUUGAUGUUCUAACGUUGACCCGUAAUCCGGGUUGCGGACAGUGUCUGGUGGGUAGUUUGACUGGGGCGGUCUCCUCCUAAAGAGUAACGGAGGAGCACGAAGGUUGGCUAAUCCUGGUCGGACAUCAGGAGGUUAGUGCAAUGGCAUAAGCCAGCUUGACUGCGAGCGUGACGGCGCGAGCAGGUGCGAAAGCAGGUCAUAGUGAUCCGGUGGUUCUGAAUGGAAGGGCCAUCGCUCAACGGAUAAAAGGUACUCCGGGGAUAACAGGCUGAUACCGCCCAAGAGUUCAUAUCGACGGCGGUGUUUGGCACCUCGAUGUCGGCUCAUCACAUCCUGGGGCUGAAGUAGGUCCCAAGGGUAUGGCUGUUCGCCAUUUAAAGUGGUACGCGAGCUGGGUUUAGAACGUCGUGAGACAGUUCGGUCCCUAUCUGCCGUGGGCGCUGGAGAACUGAGGGGGGCUGCUCCUAGUACGAGAGGACCGGAGUGGACGCAUCACUGGUGUUCGGGUUGUCAUGCCAAUGGCACUGCCCGGUAGCUAAAUGCGGAAGAGAUAAGUGCUGAAAGCAUCUAAGCACGAAACUUGCCCCGAGAUGAGUUCUCCCUGACCCUUUAAGGGUCCUGAAGGAACGUUGAAGACGACGACGUUGAUAGGCCGGGUGUGUAAGCGCAGCGAUGCGUUGAGCUAACCGGUACUAAUGAACCGUGAGGCUUAACCUU